GCGUAUAUUAAAGUUGUUGCAGUUAAAAAGCUCGUAGUUGAAUUUCGGGGUUAGUAGGUUGGUCAUGCCUCUGGUAUGUACUGAUCUCACUGAUUCCUCCCUCUUGACGAACUGUAAUGUCAUUAAUUUGGUGUUGCAGGAAAUCAGGACUGUUACUUUGAAAAAAUUAGAGUGUUUAAAGCAGGCUUAGGCUUGAAUACAUUAGCAUGGAAUAAUGAAAUAGGACGUUGACCCUAUUUUGUUGGUUUCUAGGAUUGACGUAAUGAUUAAUAGGGAUAGUUGGGGGCAUUAGUAUUCAAUUGUCAGAGGUGAAAUCCUUGGAUUUAUUGAAGACUAACUACUGCGAAAGCAUUUGCCAAGGAUGUUUUCAUUAAUCAAGAACGAAAGUUAGGGGAUCGAAGACGAUCAGAUACCGUCGUAGUCUUAACCAUAAACUAUGCCGACUAGGGA
RNAcentral lists this ribosomal RNA (450 nucleotides) under uncultured Glomus. RNAcentral describes it as "SSU rRNA". It matches the Rfam family "Eukaryotic small subunit ribosomal RNA", at positions 597 to 1052 of the family's 1831-position model. Lineage: Eukaryota; Fungi; Glomeromycota; Glomeromycetes; Glomerales; Glomeraceae. The record is from RNAcentral.